CUACGGGAUGCAGCAGUGGGGAAUAUUGCACAAUGAGCGAAAGCUUGAUGCAGCCAUACCGCGUGUGUGAAGAAGGCCCGAGGGUUGUAAAGCACUUUCAAUUGUGAGGAAGGUUCAGUAGUUAAUACCUGCUGUUCUUGACGUUAACUUUAGAAGAAGCACCGGCUAACUCUGUGCCAGCAGCCGCGGUAAUACAGAGGGUCAAGCGGUAUUCGGAAUUACUGGGCGUAACGCGCGCGUAGGAGGAUUGUUAAGUCAGUUGUGAAAGCCCUGGGCUCAACCUGGGAACUGCAUCUGAUACUGGCAAUCGAGAGUUUAAGAGAGGGAAGUGGAAUUCCAGGUGUAGCAGUGAAAUGCGUAGAUAUCUGGAGGAACAUCAGUGGCGAAGGCGACUUCCUGGCUUAAAACUGACGCUGAGGUGCGAAAGCGUGGGUAGCGAACGGGAUUAGAUACCCCGGUAGUC
Molecule: ribosomal RNA, 463 nt
Filed under: uncultured bacterium
Lineage: Bacteria
Description: partial 16S ribosomal RNA
Rfam family: Bacterial small subunit ribosomal RNA
Source: RNAcentral